ACGGCAUGAUGGGGACAUUUUCGUAUGAGAUCCUUUAAUCUUUCCCAUGACUCAUGGAACUUUUCACCAUCUUGUUGUGAAAAGCUCGUGAGAGAUCGUCUUAUUU
RNAcentral lists this small nucleolar RNA (106 nucleotides) under Cephalotus follicularis. RNAcentral's name for it is "Plant small nucleolar RNA R71". It matches the Rfam family "Plant small nucleolar RNA R71". Rfam says of the family: R71 is a member of the C/D box family of snoRNAs containing the C (UGAUGA) and D (CUGA) box motifs. Multiple nearly identical copies of this snoRNA have been identified in Arabidopsis, and it is thought to function as a 2'-O-ribose methylation guide for 18S ribosomal RNA. The record is from Rfam by way of RNAcentral. Lineage: Eukaryota; Viridiplantae; Streptophyta; Magnoliopsida; Oxalidales; Cephalotaceae.